Molecule: unclassified non-coding RNA, 969 nt
Filed under: Hevea brasiliensis (rubber tree)
Lineage: Eukaryota; Viridiplantae; Streptophyta; Magnoliopsida; Malpighiales; Euphorbiaceae
Source: RNAcentral
UGUUUCUCCUUGGUUCAAAAGAUAUAGAAGCUUUGUGAUGACCUGCAAGCAAAUAGCAUACAAAAAUCCAUUAAAAAUUCCUGAAUUCUCUCCCUUCUGAUGCGUGUCUAAUGUUGAUUGGUGUUGUUUGUUAAGCUUUAUGGCAGUUAUUCUAAACUGAUGUAUAAAGGAACUCUUAGAGACUUGCAAAGCGAGCUGUUAUGAAUGAAUUCUUGCAUUCUUCUCUGCAAAUCUCUUCUCUUCCCGUAACUCUUCUGUGUUUUCUUUCCUUUCUAGUUCAAUUCUGUUUUAGUUUGCAUCAAUGGUAUCAGAGCUUCAGAUCCUCGGCUCAGCUAUGACAAACGAUGGAAUAAUAUCUCGAGACUUUCUUUUCUCUCUCUCAGUUCUUCCUUCCUCUCUCCCUAAUUCUUUCUUUUCCAAAACUGUAACUCAUCAUUCUAUUGAUUCUUUCCUCUGUAUUUUCUCCCUCCUCCUCCAUUAUUGAACCUAGCCCUCUCCCCUGUUCUUAAAAUUUUUUGUUCUCUCUUCUUUUCUUGGUUACGAAACCAUCCAUUAAGAUUCAUCUACAUUUUUCUCAUUCUAUCUCUAAAUUUAACCCAUUGGAUCACACCAAAUUUCUACCAUGGAUUAUGUUACUUUCCCAGUUUCAAAGAACUUAUCAGAAUUGAAUGAUAGAAGGUGUAAGGGCUUGUGCUUGUGGUGUGAUGAGCAAUUUACCUCUAGCCAUAAUUGUGAUAAGGCAUCAUUUAUGGUGAGUAUCAUAAAUGACAUUCUAGAUGAAGAAGGUGAUGAUGAAAAUAAGGAAGAAUUGCGAGAAAUCCAAGAAAAUGUUUCUGCCAUUGAAGAUACUGUUCAACAAGACUGGCCAUCAACAGUUGUUAAUGGCAAUGUUCAACAAGAAUACCCACCAAUCUUGCAGCCUCUUGAAUGUUCUAAAUGGGAUAAAGAAGACCAAGAUUCUGAGAAUUC